GAUGAACGCUAGCUACAGGCUUAACACAUGCAAGUCGAGGGGAAACGGCAUCGAAAGCUUGCUUUUGAUGGGCGUCGACCGGCGCACGGGUGAGUAACGCGUAUCCAACCUGCCCCUCACUUGGGAAUAACCUUGCGAAAGUAAGACUAAUGCCCAAUGACAUCCCACGAAGGCAUCAGAAUGGGAUUAAAGAUUUAUCGGUGAUGGAUGGGGAUGCGUCUGAUUAGCUUGUUGGCGGGGUGACGGCCCACCAAGGCAACGAUCAGUAGGGGUUCAGAGAGGAAGGUCCCCCACAUUGGAACUGAGACACGGUCCAAACUCCUACGGGAGGCAGCAGUGAGGAAUAUUGGUCAAUGGGCGAGAGCCUGAACCAGCCAAGUAGCGUGCAGGAGGACGGGCCUAUGGGUUGUAAACUGCUUUUAUAAGGGAAUAAAGUGGGUCACGUGUGACUUUUUGCAUGUACCUUAUGAAUAAGAACCGGCUAAUUCCGUG
RNAcentral lists this ribosomal RNA (492 nucleotides) under uncultured bacterium. RNAcentral's name for it is "partial 16S ribosomal RNA". It matches the Rfam family "Bacterial small subunit ribosomal RNA", at positions 28 to 507 of the family's 1533-position model. The record is from RNAcentral.